AACGAACGCUGGCGGCAUGCCUAACACAUGCAAGUCGAACGAGACCUUCGGGUCUAGUGGCGCACGGGUGCGUAACGCGUGGGAACCUGCCCUUAGGUUCGGAAUAACUCUCCGAAAGGGGUGCUAAUACCGGAUAAUGUCUUCGGACCAAAGAUUUAUCGCCUUUGGUUGGGCCCGCGUUGGAUUAGCUAGUUGGUAGGGUAAAAGCCUACCAAGGCGACGAUCCAUAGCUGGUCGGAGAGGAUGAUCAGCCACACUGGGACUGAGACGCGGCCCAGACUCCUACGGGAGGCAGCAGUGGGGAAUAUUGGACCAUGGGCGGAAGCCUGAUCCAGCAAUGCCGCGUGAGUGAUGAAGGCCUUAGGGUUGUAAAGCUCUUUUACCCGGGAUGAUAAUGACAGUACCGGGAGAAUAAGCUCCGGCUAACUCCGUG
RNAcentral lists this ribosomal RNA (433 nucleotides) under uncultured bacterium. Its description in RNAcentral is "partial 16S ribosomal RNA". It matches the Rfam family "Bacterial small subunit ribosomal RNA", at positions 29 to 507 of the family's 1533-position model. The record is from RNAcentral.